This is a non-coding RNA of Pelobates cultripes (western spadefoot toad), 934 nucleotides long. The record is from the annotation of a GenBank genome assembly. Lineage: Eukaryota; Metazoa; Chordata; Amphibia; Anura; Pelobatidae.
CCCCUUUCCAGGCCUGGUUGCGGUUACCCAUUUGGACAUGUCAAACUAUAAAAUAGAAAGAAAACAUUGGAAACUAGAGUGAGUCAGGGUGUAGUGGGAACAGCCCACAAGGGGAGGGGGGGGAUAUGAAAAGGCACUUUUUGCGCUAAUGACCCAUAGGAUAGUCAUGUCCCAGCACUCGUAGACAGGAAGUCCCGUGGGGUGUAAGGGACUACAGUUGUUGGGUCCCAGUCAUGUGUUCCUCGACCUCUCGCUGAGCAGGCAGUUCUAAUGCUCUCAGCAGUGUUGGCGCCUCUUCCGCCGAAGCGAUGCGGUGACCAGGCCCAUUGUGGGUGACAAUGAGGUAGUCCAUUUGUAUGCGACUCCCGCGGUUAUCAGUUGGCUUGUGAUUGGAAGGAGCGUUUUACGCCAUUGCAGGGUGGACCUCGACAGGUCCUGGUAAAAGGUUAAGUCAGUACCCUCAAAUGAGUAAGGGGUCUAGUUUUGUUGAGCCGUGAAUAGAGCCCUUUUGUCUUCAGCGAGGGAGCAGCGUACUAUGAUGUUGCUUACUGCAUUUGUUGGAGCCCUGGGUGACUUCGGUAGGCGGAACAAGUCAUCAAAAGCAAGCUUUUUGGCAUGUCUGUAGUAGCAGCGAAGCCACCAAUCGCCUCAUGUAGUGUGGUAAUUCUUCCCUGGUAACGGAUUCGGGUACCCAUUAUUUUCUGAUUGUUACGUCAGGAGCGAUCCUCCAGCGUAGAAAGGUGCGUGUUGUGUUUUUUGGACACAAUGUAGAGAGUCCUUCACUUUGGACAUGUCUUGUCUCACGUCCAUGAUGUCCUCUUCUGUUGCUUUCACACUGUGUGUAACCACCUGUAGGUCUGCCUGGAUAGCUGCGAUGUCAGUGGCUAGCGUUUGUCAGAAGUCAUUGAGGAUGUCUUUAGUGGCCAGGGCUGAG